This 497-nucleotide ribosomal RNA is filed under the name uncultured bacterium. RNAcentral's name for it is "partial 16S ribosomal RNA". It matches the Rfam family "Bacterial small subunit ribosomal RNA", at positions 28 to 507 of the family's 1533-position model. The record is from RNAcentral.
GAUGAACGCUGGCGGCGUGCCUAAUACAUGCAAGUCGAGCGAACAGACGAGGAGCUUGCUCCUCUGACGUUAGCGGCGGACGGGUGAGUAACACGUGGAUAACCUACCUAUAAGACUGGGAUAACUUCGGGAAACCGGAGCUAAUACCGGAUAAUAUAUUUAACCGCAUGGUUCAAUAGUGAAAGACGGUUUUGCUGUCACUUAUAGAUGGAUCCGCGCCGCAUUAGCUAGUUGGUAAGGUAACGGCUUACCAAGGCGACGAUGCGUAGCCGACCUGAGAGGGUGAUCGGCCACACUGGAACUGAGACACGGUCCAGACUCCUACGGGAGGCAGAAGUAGGGAAUCUUCCGCAAUGGGCGAAAGCCUGACGGAGCAACGCCGCGUGAGUGAUGAAGGUCUUCGGAUCGUAAAACUCUGUUAUUAGGGAAGAACAAAUGUGUAAGUAACUAUGCACGUCUUGACGGUACCUAAUCAGAAAGCCACGGCUAACUACGUG